UACGAAGGGGGCUAGCGUUGCUCGGAAUGACUGGGCGUAAAGGGCGCGUAGGCGGCUGGGCCAGUCAGAUGUGAAAUUCCCGGGCUUAACCUGGGGACUGCAUUUGAUACGUGUUGUCUUGAGUUCGGAAGAGGGUCGUGGAAUUCCCAGUGUAGAGGUGAAAUUCGUAGAUAUUGGGAAGAACACCGGUGGCGAAGGCGGCUACCUGGUCCGACACUGACGCUGAGGCGCGAAAGCGUGGGGAGCAAACAGG
RNAcentral lists this ribosomal RNA (253 nucleotides) under uncultured bacterium. RNAcentral describes it as "partial 16S ribosomal RNA". It matches the Rfam family "Bacterial small subunit ribosomal RNA", at positions 524 to 776 of the family's 1533-position model. The record is from RNAcentral.